CACCCCGCCCCCCAAAUUCCGGUUUUCGGCCAGGGGUGGAUGGGGAAGAGGUGGAAGCAAAGGCUGUGCAGACAAUGGAGAGAGGAAAAACUAGGUCGCAUCCUAAAGUUUCUCACAAGCUUAAAAAAGAAAAACGAAAAAUUGACAACUCUUACACAGAAGAGUCCACAAAAGCUGCAGCAGCGCCAGGGGUGAAGAAACAGCGACAGACCCAGGGCUCAUUCUAGGCCCCACAACUCCCAAACAGGAAGCCGUAAGUGUGGACAACCUUAGCACAACUACAGAGUGACACUAAAGGCCAUCAAGACUUAGUCACUAAGGAGAAAAGAGGCACUUCAGCAGCCUUGGCUUCAUUCUUUGGAUCCCUAAGGGAGGAGACCUAAGUGACUACCCCCACUGUCUCUCUUCCUGGCUUUAAAAAAAUAAACUGUCAUCCACUCAUAUGAAGGAAUGUUAUACAGCAAGGAAAAGCACAAACUUCUCUACAACAGGCAUGUAGAAAAGUGCACAUCAUAAGUUUAUAGCUAGGUGAAUAACCCAUGUCACCAGUGUCCAUAUUAAGAAAUGGAAAAUUACUGGCAAUCCAGAAACCACAUCCCAUUCUCCAUUCUCUGCCAAUUACUACUCCCACCAUCUUUCCCAGAGAUAACCACU
Molecule: long non-coding RNA, 654 nt
Organism: Balaenoptera ricei (Rice's whale)
Lineage: Eukaryota; Metazoa; Chordata; Mammalia; Artiodactyla; Balaenopteridae
Exons: 3
Source: RefSeq, a predicted model, not a curated record